CGUGGCUCAGUCGGUAGAGCGACUGAUUCGUAAUCAGUAGAUCAGGGGUUCGAGUCCCCUCG
RNAcentral lists this transfer RNA (62 nucleotides) under uncultured Acetatifactor sp. It matches the Rfam family "tRNA", at positions 6 to 65 of the family's 71-position model. From Rfam's summary of the family: Transfer RNA (tRNA) molecules are approximately 80 nucleotides in length. Their secondary structure includes four short double-helical elements and three loops (D, anti-codon, and T loops). Lineage: Bacteria; Bacillati; Bacillota; Clostridia; Lachnospirales; Lachnospiraceae. The record is from RNAcentral.